RNAcentral lists this ribozyme (75 nucleotides) under Crocodylus porosus (Australian saltwater crocodile). Its description in RNAcentral is "Mammalian CPEB3 ribozyme (ENSCPRG00005001957.1)". It matches the Rfam family "Mammalian CPEB3 ribozyme". From Rfam's summary of the family: The mammalian CPEB3 ribozyme is a self cleaving RNA located in the second intron of the CPEB3 gene which belongs to a family of genes regulating messenger RNA polyadenylation. The record is from Rfam by way of RNAcentral. Lineage: Eukaryota; Metazoa; Chordata; Crocodylia; Crocodylidae.
AGUGGCAAAACAGGCCAUAGCAGAAGCUCUCGCAGCGCGGCCCUGUCAUAUUCCAAUGAAUCUGCAAAUUCUGCU